GACGAACGCUGGCGGCGUGCUUAACACAUGCAAGUCGAACGAAGAAGCCCAGCUUGCGGGGGGUGCUAGAGGCGAACAGGGGAGUAACACGCGUGUAUCCUCUGCCUAAGUCUUGGAUAUGCCUUGGGAACAGGGUGGAAUACCCCAGAGAAGAGUUCAUGGCGCGGGGGGGGGGGGAGAGAGUUAUCGCGGUUGGGGGUGGACUCGCGGCAUCUCAGCUUGUUGGUGGGGUAGUGGCUUACCAAGGCUUUGACGGGUAGCCGGCCUGAGAGGGUGACCGGCCACACUGGGACUGAGACACGGCCCAGACUCCUACGGGAGGCAGCAGUGGGGAAUAUUGCACAAUGGGCGGAAGCCUGAUGCAGCAACGCCGCGUGCGGGAUGACGGCCUUCGGGUUGUAAACCUCUUUCGGUAGGGACGAAGCGAGAGUGACGGUACCUGCAGAAGAAGCACCGGCUAACUACGUG
RNAcentral lists this ribosomal RNA (468 nucleotides) under uncultured bacterium. Its description in RNAcentral is "partial 16S ribosomal RNA". It matches the Rfam family "Bacterial small subunit ribosomal RNA", at positions 28 to 507 of the family's 1533-position model. The record is from RNAcentral.